CAGCAGCCACACAGAGCAUGUGGCUAGUGGACUGAGCCAGGAAUUAACAACCAAAAAUAACUCCGAAUCCCUAUAUUUGGAACGAAGCUCAGGAACACGACAGGGGCCUCCCUGGGAACCUCUCAGGGCCUCUUUGCGUCGACUGGAUCUGUUGUUGGGUCUUUUGGAGAGAAGGCCUUGCAGCUGCGGCCGUGAACACUGGUGUCAAAGUCACCUUAGUGACUUGAUUGACCUUGUCUCCAGAAUGUCAGUCCUGAAGAGACUCACUUCGCUCUGUGAAUCCCACUUGGAGAUGCUCUUGGGGAAUUAAUCCAGAAGAGAGGAGCGGCUCUGCACACUAAGGAGGAGUGUUGGAGUUCCUCACUUCUCCGCGGGUGGAGAGAUACACCUGCUGUGUCCGCUGUGGGAAGCUCUCUAUACACCUUCGUGCGACAGAACAGUGCAGCUGACAUCAGCAGGACUGGAAGGACUAUGACACAAUAAGGCAGACGCAAAACUGCUCCUCUUGUAACAGGUAGGAAUCAGGGUUGUUCACAGAAGACAUCCUGGAGAAUUUGUUUUUAAUUGUUUAAAUGGAAUGAAGUGAUUUUUAUUUUUUUAAAUGGAUUUUAUCAUAUUUGUGUGGUUAGUUUUUUAAAAAUGUAUUUGAUGUGCAAACGAGGCCUUGAUCCCACAUUUCCAGCUCACACCCCUCCCUGGCACCAUGUCUCGUCUCCAGGAGCUGAGAGACUCAGUGACAUGCACCCCACAGCCGUUCCUGACACAGAGUCUCUUGUAAAAUGAAGGAGACUCUCCUGGGGGUCUGGGGUCUGGAUGGUGCGCCCCGAGUCCUCGGGUCUUCUGGUCCUGUGGCUGUGUCUUUGUUUUGUCAAUUGCGCCCUCUUCUCUGGCGCUCGGCUGUUUGCUGCACCCACGGCCAGGAGACCACGUACUGAGAACCCACUGAACCCGGAACUUUCUGGGCCACCAAGUAUUCCCGGGAAGACUGACUGGGAGGGUCCCCGAGUGUGUCCCCUCCUCCAGGCCGGCCGGGUAGAGGGCAGAUCUGGAUUUUCCCUCGGCUUUUCCUGGAAGCCUGGGCAAAGCCAGCCCCUCAGGGCCGUGGCACCCGGAUCUCCCAGCUCCGCGUGGAGAGAGGAUGAGGGCGACGGUCUGCUGUGACCAGAGGAGAUGCAGAGCCGGGGCUCCGCCUGCAGAGGCUCUCGUCCAUUCGACAGGCACCCUGUCCUGCCAGGUCUCUGCCCCGUUCCUGUGUCUCUCUGGCUGUAGGAAGCAGCAGGACCUUCAGAGCAUCCUUUCUACCGGCGGGAUUGUAUGGAAGCAGAGUGUGUGCCGGGGCACCUGGCGGCAGGAAGAGCUCUCGCUCCGCAGCGCGGCAGGCGGCAGGCGGCAGAGUCCCGGGCUGGGAGUCUGGAACGCAGGCUUGGACCCCAGCUCCGCCCUCUUGACUCUGUCUCUGGGUGUGUGACUCCCCAUCCGGACCUCAGCGCCCUCACAGGGGAGACGCAGGGACCCGGCACCUCAGACCUGUCACAGAGGCGAGUGAGACCACAGGGAGGAGCACAACAGAGCCCCCGGGUCUCAGGACGGACGGAGGAGCUGGGUGCUGUCGUCUUCCGUUGUCCUCGAUUCACAGGCUCUGAGACACAAACAGCUGCAGGGAUGAGGGUUCAGACUCCAGGAGAAGCACAUUCAAUUUAGAGCAACUUGGAUUCAGGGAAAAUUGAAGAGAUCUGAACUUCCCCUUUUCAUAACUUUACCUUUUGAUUCUAAUUCUGCCAAAUGAAGUCACGUUGUCAUGACACCCCUUUCGUGCCCCCUCCCUUGGGCUAAACUUGGGUUUAUGUAACUACUCCUUUCGUGACGAGUGAGCAUCACCUGAGUGGAGUUCACAGUGGGAGUGGGGGCAGGGAGGGGAGGUCCCCACGUGGAUCAGACUCUGGGGGUAGAGUUCAGAUGGCACCCACGCCCUCCACAGAAGACACUGGCAAGCCUCCCAGUCCUGGUUGUCCCUCGAAGACCAUCCCCGCCCGCUUCCCCAACACAGUCGCUUGGCAUCCACCCUUCCCCCAUGAAGCAGCACUUGCAUCAGUGAAAGCGAUUGUGUGAACAAUGUGGAAGCAGAAAGCAGUGACUGAGAGGCACGGGUAGAUUUAGCACCAGUCCAGUCUCAUACUCUCAGCAAGGAAGCUGUCUCGGGGAGGUCGACGGGGCUGCUGGAGGGAACACAGUUCCCUGGGCCCGGGCCUCUUAGGACGUGGGCUUCCCAGAGCUGCAGAGAGAUCUCGUCACCUGCUCUCUUCCCAUUGCGUUAUAUAAAUGAGACCUUUGGGGUGCCUGCCCAGCUCCCUAGACCUGCCCCCCGCUGCCAAGUUCUUGCCACACGAGGCCCCACCCUCGCCCUCGGCUGGGCCCACCUGACUGGAUCGAUAAAUGGUCUCUUGAGAAACUGGAGUUCAUAUUUGGACUCAGCUAGCCUGUCUCCACCUGUGCUGCUGCCAAGGCACCCACAAAACCUCGGGAGAUGAGGCGGCACCUUCCACCUCGUGGGCACAGAGGCAGGGAAGAGGAGACUGAAGGACGGGAAGGGAGGCGCUGAGAAGCUGCAGCCAGAGGCAGGUGGGCUCCUGUGCUUUCCAGGCGCCGGCUCAGACCCACAAGAAGCCCGGUUUCCUUUGGGUUUAUGACAGAUCCGGAAUCUCCCUAUAGAUUCCUCUUCUGGCUUGAGCUGUCCAGAGUGGACGGAUACUAACCAGGAGAGUCAAGGACCAUAAGGUAAACUGACGUCUGUUUCCUCCUAGUUUCACGCACUGGUGAUGUCAUCUUCCCAGGAGAAAACAGAGGUGGCGGCCUUCCUUGACAGAACAGCCUGCAGUGUCCAGUUGACUGCCCUUCCUUAUGUCAUGUCACCACUGGAAAACCAAGAGCUAUUGGCAAGAUCUUUAGGUCCACGUUGCCACCUGAGGAAUUUUCAAAGGGCUUUGCAAUUCCUAGAGUAAGAGCGCUCGGUCGAGCCUGGGUCACUGGACAGCCAUCACUUAGCUCAGAUCUGGAAAUGAUAGCGCGUUCCUCAGACAAGACCCAAUCAUGUUGGUUUCUAGUUAUAAGCUAUGGUUACGUGAAAAAUAGGGCCCUCAUCUCCCCCCUAAGACCUUGUAACCUCUUUUCUACUAGUUAUCACUUCACUAAUAGUAAGUUGGUGAGUUCUUAAAGCAUAUUUCUCCCAGGACAAAACUGAGUCUCAAAUAUCAGAGAAGCAUUCUGCAGCCAUCUGACCUUUGGGCCAGAGACACUCUUGGGUUACUUAAUUUUUUUAUUUUUGGGGAGGAAGAUUUGCCCUGAGUUAACAUGCAUUGCCAAUCCUCUUCUUUUGUUUUAAUGAGGAAUAUAAGCCCUGAGCUAACAUCUGUGCCAAUCCUCCUCUACUUUGUACGUGGGAUGCCUCCACAGCACGGCCAAUGAGUGGAGCAAGUCUGAAUCCGGGAUCCAAAUCUGUGAACCCGGCCACAGAAGUGGAGGGUGUGGAACUUUAACUGCUCAGCCACAGGGCCGGCCCCUUGGGUUGCUUAAUCUUUAAAACUAGAAGUGAUUGUUGUCAAAACAGCACCUAGAUCUGAUAAGUAGAAAAAAAAUCGUUUCAAUCUUACAAGGUUCGCCCAGUUGGAGCAGAAGCACAGCUGGACCCCAUGUAUUCCGAUUCUUGGUCCGACGGUCCCCUCUGUGUACGCCUCUGUGUCUGUGAUUUCUUGGUGAAAUAUCCGUGCUGGGUUUCCAUGGUAACAAUCCCCUUCUUCUGCAGACACACACAGACAUCUUGGUUCAUGAAAGUUGAAGGUUUGAUCAGGUCUUUAGUUGAGGACAAGCUGUUGUUUCCCAGAGGUAGUGAGAUGCAGGCGACGGGUAUCCAUUCCUGAGGGUCACUAACCCUGUGGCCUGGGAAGGUGAGUAGGGCAUGGGGCUGGUUGGGCUGCGGUGUCCUCCAUUCCUUCCUGUGUGUCCUCGCUGGGCGAGUGCCCUGACAGCUGACGCUCACUGGACUCUCCGGUCAGGGGCCAGCCUCCAGGCUUUACUGAGACCAUGCUGAUUAAGGUUUUGGAAAUCUCUCUUGCUCACUGCUGUUCCCAGCCCACUCCCCCAACCUCUGCAGGAUCUCCAACCGCCUGCACCAUGGGCUCGUCUGCGGGAAAAUGCAGAGAAGCUGGAGGUCAGAGCCCAGGGCCUUGGGGAGACUCAGUCAUGUUCUCUCUGGAAUUUCGAUUUCUUUUCUUUUCCAUCAGUGCCCCACCCACCCACCGCACAGUCACAUCAGCGUCAGGCGCCACUAAACCCGGGGACUUAUUGGAGCUACUUCCCCCUCCAUGGAUUCUGUCGUCAUCUGUCAGAGAGAGAUCUACUUACAGACACCCUUUUGGAACGAGCUCGUGGUUCACACCUGGCAUGUUUUCUCCACCGGGUUGUGCCCAGAGGGUGGUGGGUGGGACCAGAAGGUGUGAGGCCCAGAGGGUGGACGAGUGCCCCCACACUCGACCCCAGCAGCUCCUCUUGUGUUGUGCUUAAUUUUGUUUAAAGAGAAUGUCCUGGAACACAUGGAAACUACAAAAAAACCACAGUGCCCAAUGGUGCACAGCUGGCAUCUUAAACAUUCACGUUAACAACACGCUAAUACAUGUGACGUUUGCCCAUGAGCAUGGAAUAAUAAUUUGCGGUGAUACCUAAUUUUAAAAGACGUCAGUGAAUUGCACAAGGAGUCAGCACAAUUCUUCCCAAUCGGGUGGAGCCAUUGGGCUGAAACAUGCAGGUGGGGACGGCCUUCGGUCAGCAAGAGACUGUCCUUCCCUUCCUAUUUCCAGUGUGGUGAUAUGCACCUUAGUGAGGCCGCGGUUUUACUCAGGCUGCAGAGCAUCCUCCUACCUAGAGAUGAAGGGCACAGGGAGACGGAGCACCAGGACUGCCGCCAGUGGGAACGCGCUGCACCCGCAGAGCACAGGCGAGCCCACACUCACUCAGAGACCCCAGGACGCUGGAGUCAAAGCCUCUGGGCUGCUCGAAGCUGCUGUCUCUGCCGCGGUCCAUCGAGUAGGAGAGGCAGAGAUGAAGGCUGGACCACAGGGUGAUGGGCCUUGUCUGUGCUGGCGUCGUCAGGGCCAUGUCCUCAUUAGGGGCACAUUGCUGCUCGCACGGUGCUUCCUCCAGGGGAAAGAGGGCCCCUAAUUGUGCCUGCUGUCGUGUGACCUGAACGAUGCAGGGGGCUCUGAUGGGGUGUGAGACUGUGGCCUCCUUUACCUGGUCCCCUCACAUACACAGGAGCCCACGGGGCCCAGCUGGGCGGUCCCAUGGCCCAGGGCAAACCUGCGGGGCCUCCGUGCCCACACAGUGAAAUGUGGAGGGACACGGUGUUCUGGAGGGAGGGGUGGAGUCCUGUUGUCAGCACCUCCAUCACGACGUGACGAUGGCGUGCGCGGAGAGAGGCAGGAGCAUCGGGCCUUCCUCGAACUUCCCGUGAUGUCGCUUCGCAGUGACUGAAACUGGUGUUGGGAAAGUAGCGCUUUGGAAGGCUGCUCACAGGCACUUUGUCCAGGAAGCGAGGGCCUUGCGUGCGGCCACACGGACUGCAAGCAGUUCCCAUCAGAUGCUCCACCGGACGGCCUGGGAGGAACGGCCCUGAGGGCUCCUGUUCCUGCGUGCACCCUCGACUCUUCCCCUGCCUCCGACACAAGGAAGUUGGAGCCGUUCUGGAAGCUGGAAGCUGCUCUUCUGCCCGAUGCUGGUUUGAGAGGCAGUCAGGAGGGCUCCACCCCUGUCAACAGGACCAAAGUCCCAGAGUCGAGAGCUCGGCUGGGCCACUUCCUGAGGGAGAUGCAGCUCCACGAGGCCUGGAGGCUGAGGAGAGUCAGGAGGAGACGCUGGAGAGGAGGGCCCAGCGUGGCCCAGCCUGCCCUGCGGCUCCUGGGGCUGCAGGUGCCAGUCGCACCUUCAGGGCUGCGGUUGGGUGUCCUCCACGGUGCUUGCGAGGGGGACCUUGAGGUUUCUUCUGGCCUCGGCUUCCUCUCACAACAACAAGGGUUGGUUCCUCGAAGGGCAAGACCCUGAGCUUCUCCAGCUGCGUGACACUGAUGUCAUGGAGGAGCAGAGCUGGAGCAGAUCACUGGGGAAUCCGUGUCAUCAUACAGACAUCUCUGCGUCAUGUUCCAGCACAGAUAGAGCAUUUGCCUUCAACAGGGAGAAGAAGGACACCUCUUCGGGUCCAGAAGAUGUAGGGAAACCUGAGGUUCAAGAAUUUGAGUGUAUUGAUCAGAUGACCCUCCCUGAAGCCUCAGGGUCUCCCUUCUUCCCAACCAGGUCCUGCCAUUGGGCAGCAGCCUCCCUUGGGUUGAGGGCUGCUGUCUUUAGGACUGAGUCUUGAUCCACGGCUCUUUUUGGUUCUCUGGCUGCAGGAGAGGAGAGUGUCUAUAUGGCACCAAGGAAGCCCUCUUUUUGUCACUUUUUUUAAAAAUUGGAGAUCUUUUCAUUGCCUUGUUCUUGGCAAGAGCCGCCUGAUUCUGUAAUGCAGAUGGUUGCUGCUCUUCCCAGCCACUCCGAUGCCCUGGAUGCGGCACCCAGCAGUGUGUUUCUUUCAUUGGGCUUCCACCCUGGCUCAGUGCUACUACUGCCUGGCAGGGCUGUGGUGCCACCAGUGAUGUGCCACUUGGCAUUCUGUGCUCAACCCCACCAUACAGGCUGCUCCUGGAACACUCCUGGCCCCACCAUCUUCUGCUGGGCUCCCCUGGACACAAACUCUGAAGCAGAGGUUUGUGUGCAAGAGGUUAUUGGGAGUGUUCUCGGAAGAAAAGUCCUGUGAGCAUGGGAGGGAAGAAGGAUCGGGCAGAGGAGUAUCUUGACCACUGUGCAGGUCUGCGGGGCCUCGGCUGACCCUCCGAGAUGCUCAGCAGCUGAGGCUGCUGGUCAGUUGUCUUGAUGGAGGCAGAGCCUUGGUCUUGGGGACUGGGGGCAUCUGGAUGGCGCACGACAGCACACCCUACAGAAGCCUCUGAGGUCUCAGAGUUAGAGGCAGCAACGGUGGAGUUUGAGCCAAGGAAAAGCUGCUGUCCUAACUUGCAUGUUAAACUCGCAGUAAACACCAUGUAUGGAGGUCUUGACGGGAUGAAGUCCAGCAGGUGACGAGGACCUGGAAGGAGACUCAGGUAGCCACGGUGAAGAAUGCUUAGUAACCCUUUUCACGUGUACCUAAGCCUUUUUUUUAGGAAAUGAGGAUAAAACAGUGAAAAACCAGGCCUUGUCUUCAGGAAGCUUGUGUUCUGGUGUGUGCAGGGUGUGUGUGGGCUACCCAGAUGGGGGAGGGGGGAAGUCAGGGGAGACACAGACCAUACCUGAGGCAAGGAAGGAACCCCACAGAGGCCUGAGGGUCAGGAGGGCAGACCCAGGGCACUUGGCUUGUGUGAGCAGCCACUGCGCUGGGAGCUAGGGCAGCCUGGGAGCCAGGGUGGCCAAGGCCAGUGGACAGCAGAGGAGCAGGAGGGCAGAUGGCAGGCAUGGGGAGCUGAGGCUGACACGCAGAACCUCCAGACUGCGUGCUUCUCCAGACCCCAUGGCUGCCCUGUCUCUCAGGUCACCUCCUGCUUCUCCAUCCCCUGCAGCUGGCCUUCUCUGGACCACUGCGAGGGCUGGGUCCCGCCAGGUGAUUCUUUUCCUUUGAUACCUUCGGGUUUGAAUUUCUUAAAACUCUGUGCAUGUGCUAGUGUUAAAUCUCAAACCCGAGUUAAUCAUACAGAGCCUCACAGUGUAAGAAAACGGAGGGAGGGGAGGGGGCACAGGGCGCCCCUGGCCCCAGAUCUCGCCGGAGCUGGGCGGUCAGCAACGUGGGACUGUCGGCAACACGGGACGGCAGGGGCGUGGGCGCCAGGACCUACGCUAAGGCCGCCCUCGCAGGCCAGGCAGCUCCAGG
Long non-coding RNA from Equus caballus (horse), 7942 nucleotides. NCBI's taxonomy places the organism in Eukaryota, Metazoa, Chordata, Mammalia, Perissodactyla, Equidae. The record is from Ensembl.